Molecule: non-coding RNA, 71 nt
Organism: Cavia porcellus (domestic guinea pig)
Lineage: Eukaryota; Metazoa; Chordata; Mammalia; Rodentia; Caviidae
Source: Rfam
UAUAGAGAGUCAUAGGAGUUAUGGAGCUGGCUUGAAACCAGUUUUGGGAGGUUCCAUUCCUUCCUUUAUUG